UACGUAGGGGGCGAGCGUUGUCCGGAUUUAUUGGGCGUAAAGAGCUCGUAGGCGGCUUAGUAAGUCGGGUGUGAAACCUCCAGGCUCAACCUGGAGACGCCACCCGAUACUUCCGAGCUGGAGGUAGGUAGGGGAGAUCGGAAUUCCUGGUGUAGCGGUGAAAUGCGCAGAUAUCAGGAGGAACACCGGUGGCGAAGGCGGAUCUCUGGGCCUUACCUGACGCUGAGGCGCGAAAGCGUGGGGAGCGAACAGG
This 253-nucleotide ribosomal RNA is filed under the name uncultured bacterium. Its description in RNAcentral is "partial 16S ribosomal RNA". It matches the Rfam family "Bacterial small subunit ribosomal RNA", at positions 524 to 776 of the family's 1533-position model. The record is from RNAcentral.